Molecule: ribosomal RNA, 658 nt
Filed under: uncultured Actinomycetes bacterium
Lineage: Bacteria; Bacillati; Actinomycetota; Actinomycetes
Description: bacterial SSU rRNA
Rfam family: Bacterial small subunit ribosomal RNA
Source: RNAcentral
GGUAGUCCAGACCGUAAACGUUGGGCACUAGUUGUGGGAACCUUCCACGGUUUCUGCGACGCAGCUAACGCAUUAAGUGCCCCGCCUGGGGAGUACGAUCGCAAGAUUAAAACUCAAAGGAAUUGACGGGGCCCCGCACAAGCAGCGGAGCAUGCGGCUUAAUUCGACGCAACGCGAAGAACCUUACCAAGGCUUGACAUAUAGAGAAAAGUGGCAGAGAUGUCAUGUCCGCAAGGGCUCUAUACAGGUGGUGCAUGGUUGUCGUCAGCUCGUGUCGUGAGAUGUUGGGUUAAGUCCCGCAACGAGCGCAACCCUCGUUCUGUGUUGCCAGCAUUUAGUUGGGGACUCACAGGAGACUGCCGGGGUUAACUCGGAGGAAGGUGGGGAUGACGUCAAAUCAUCAUGCCCCUUAUGUCUUGGGCUGCACGCAUGCUACAAUGGCCGGUACAGAGGGCUGCAAUACCGUAAGGUGGAGCGAAUCCCAAAAAGCCGGUCUCAGUUCGGAUUGAGGUCUGCAACUCGACCUCAUGAAGUUGGAGUUGCUAGUAAUCGUAGAUCAGCAUCGCUACGGUGAAUACGUUCCCGGGGCUUGUACACACCGCCCGUCACGUCACGAAAGUCGGUAACACCCAAAGUCAGUGGCCCAACCGCAAGGAGG